UGGGAAGUGUUGUCUUUGAGGGCGUUGGU
Molecule: non-coding RNA, 29 nt
Filed under: Rattus norvegicus (Norway rat)
Lineage: Eukaryota; Metazoa; Chordata; Mammalia; Rodentia; Muridae
Source: RNAcentral